GACAGAGGCCUCGAGCGUUAGGCGGAAUCACUGGGCUUAAAGCGUGUGUAGGCGGAUGCCUAAGUACCUUGUGAAAUCCCACGGCUCACCCGUGGAACUGCUCGGUAUACUGGGUGUCUUGAGCCACUUAGGGGCUACCGGAACAAAUGGUGGAGCGGUGAAAUGCGUUGAUAUCCUAAGGAACACCGGUGGCGAAAGCGGCGUACUGGGUCUUAUCUGACGCUGAGGCACGAAAGCUAGGGUAGCGAACGGG
RNAcentral lists this ribosomal RNA (253 nucleotides) under uncultured bacterium. RNAcentral describes it as "partial 16S ribosomal RNA". It matches the Rfam family "Bacterial small subunit ribosomal RNA", at positions 524 to 776 of the family's 1533-position model. The record is from RNAcentral.